UAAGGAAUAUUGGUCAAUGGGGGGAACCCUGAACCAGCCAUGCCGCGUGCAGGAAGACGGCCCUACGGGUUGUAAACUGCUUUUGCACGGGAAUAACCCUGUAUAUGUAUAUACAGCUGAAUGUACCGUGAGAAUAAGGAUCGGCUAACUCCGUGCCAGCAGCCGCGGUAAUACGGAGGAUCCGAGCGUUAUCCGGAAUUAUUGGGUUUAAAGGGUGCGUAGGCGGCCCGCUAAGUCAGUGGUGAAAGACGGUGGCUCAACCAUCGCAGUGCCGUUGAUACUGGCGGGCUUGAAUGUACUUGGGGCAGGCGGAAUGUGGCAAGUAGCGGUGAAAUGCAUAGAUAUGCCACAGAACACCGAUCGCGAAGGCAGCUUACCAAGGUAUGAUUGACGCUGAGGCACGAAAGCGUGGGGAUCGAACA
Molecule: ribosomal RNA, 422 nt
Filed under: uncultured Olivibacter sp.
Lineage: Bacteria; Pseudomonadati; Bacteroidota; Sphingobacteriia; Sphingobacteriales; Sphingobacteriaceae
Description: bacterial SSU rRNA
Rfam family: Bacterial small subunit ribosomal RNA
Source: RNAcentral